UCAACUUUUAUCUUUGGCUUACUUGUUAUAUAGUAGCAACAAUUAAUGUAUGCCAUGAUUAAUAAAAGUACAAUCUCUUCAAGACCAAUCAUUCCUUGUUAACAUACACCAGGUGGACCAAUCUUAUCAAUAGAACAUGAAAUCGAAUGGCCAGGAACAAAUGUUGGGAUAGAUUUGGCGAAUGUAGAAGAUGAAUAUACUGGGCAGGAAUUGAACCAAUGUUUUUCCGUUAGUAGUGUAAGGCUAUAUAAAUUCGGUAGCUGAAACGAAAUCAAUAAUUGACAAAAAUAUUUUUGCAUGAAAUAAAAUCAAUAAUCAACGAAAAACUUUUCUGCAUGUAAAUCAAAUGCUUAUGAUCACAGACAACUAUUUACGUAAAUAUAAUAUCUACUGUACUUGUACUCUCCUUGAGCAUGAUUUCUGUAGAAUAAGAAUAAAACAAUAUAAAGAAAGGAACAAAUCAGUAAAUAAACAAUUACCCUAAUCCAUGCCGUUAAUGAAUCCUCGUACAUCUUUUAUUCCAAUCAACAACAUGCAGCAGAAAUUAGCCCAUAAUUAUGGCUAUAGAAAUUGGGUACCUGAAACAAAACAAAAACAUACCAAUUAAGCAAAGGCCAUAAUGAUACAAUUCAUAUCCAUGCAAUGGCAUGAGAACGAUUGCAUCAAAAGCUAAGAGCAAUUUUAGGAAGAGAAAUGCAAUGUUGUUGCUCAAACGGCAAUAAGUAGCCAAGAAGUAAUGUCUGAAAUUUGGAUAAAUUAUUUCUCUGAGACGAAACAGAAGUCACGGACACACAUAUGCAUACCCAAUAUCCCUAUGUACGUACCCAGAAUGACUUAACCUUGCAACCUUUCCAUCGGGAGCCAGCCGCUGGCACGUACGUCCGCUCCACUACGCCUGAGAUACCCGAGGCGACGUUGCUCAAAAGACCAGAG
This 933-nucleotide long non-coding RNA is filed under the name Triticum aestivum (bread wheat). Its description in RNAcentral is "long non-coding RNA (TAES_LNC015903)". The record is from RNAcentral. Lineage: Eukaryota; Viridiplantae; Streptophyta; Magnoliopsida; Poales; Poaceae.